This 494-nucleotide ribosomal RNA is filed under the name uncultured bacterium. RNAcentral's name for it is "partial 16S ribosomal RNA". It matches the Rfam family "Bacterial small subunit ribosomal RNA", at positions 28 to 507 of the family's 1533-position model. The record is from RNAcentral.
GACGAACGCUGGCGGCGUGCUUAACACAUGCCAGUCGAACGGUGAAGCGCCUUCCUUUUUGGUGGGUGUGGAUGAGUGGCGAACGGGUGAGUAACACGUGAGUAACCUGCCCCCUUCUUCUGGAUAACCGCAUGAAAGUGUGGCUAAUACGGGAUAUUCUGGGUCUGUCGCAUGAUGGGUCUGGGAAAGAUAUUGUUUCGGUGGGGGAUGGGCUCGCGGCCUAUCAGCUUGUUGGUGGGGUGAUGGCCUACCAAGGCGGUGACGGGUAGCCGGCCUGAGAGGGUGGACGGUCACAAUGGGACUGAGACACGGCCCAGACUCCUACGGGAGGCAGCAGUGGGGAAUAUUGCACAAUGGGCGCAAGCCUGAUGCAGCGACGCCGCGUGAGGGAUGGAGGCCUUCGGGUUGUGAACCUCUUUCGCCAGUGAAGCAGGCCUGCCUCGUUUGUGGGUGGGUUGACGGUAGCUGGAGAAGAAGCGCCGGCUAACUACGUG